Molecule: ribosomal RNA, 552 nt
Filed under: Escherichia coli
Lineage: Bacteria; Pseudomonadati; Pseudomonadota; Gammaproteobacteria; Enterobacterales; Enterobacteriaceae
Description: partial 23S ribosomal RNA
Rfam family: Bacterial large subunit ribosomal RNA
Source: RNAcentral
AUGGGGUGACUGCGUACCUUUUGUAUAAUGGGUCAGCGACUUAUAUUCUGUAGCAAGGUUAACCGAAUAGGGGAGCCGAAGGGAAACCGAGUCUUAACUGGGCGUUAAGUUGCAGGGUAUAGACCCGAAACCCGGUGAUCUAGCCAUGGGCAGGUUGAAGGUUGGGUAACACUAACUGGAGGACCGAACCGACUAAUGUUGAAAAAUUAGCGGAUGACUUGUGGCUGGGGGUGAAAGGCCAAUCAAACCGGGAGAUAGCUGGUUCUCCCCGAAAGCUAUUUAGGUAGCGCCUCGUGAAUUCAUCUCCGGGGGUAGAGCACUGUUUCGGCAAGGGGGUCAUCCCGACUUACCAACCCGAUGCAAACUGCGAAUACCGGAGAAUGUUAUCACGGGAGACACACGGCGGGUGCUAACGUCCGUCGUGAAGAGGGAAACAACCCAGACCGCCAGCUAAGGUCCCAAAGUCAUGGUUAAGUGGGAAACGAUGUGGGAAGGCCCAGACAGCCAGGAUGUUGGCUUAGAAGCAGCCAUCAUUUAAAGAAAGCGUAAUAG